GAUGAACGCUGGCGGCGUGCCUAACACAUGCAAGUCGAGCGAUUUACUUCGGUAAAGAGCGGCGGACGGGUGAGUAACGCGUGGGUAACCUGCCCCGUACACACGGAUAACAUACCGAAAGGUAUGCUAAUACGGGAUAAUAUGUUUUGAUCGCAUGAUCGAAAUAUCAAAGCUCCGGCGGUACAGGAUGGACCCGCGUCUGAUUAGCUAGUUGGUAAGGUAACGGCUUACCAAGGCGACGAUCAGUAGCCGACCUGAGAGGGUGAUCGGCCACAUUGGAACUGAGACACGGUCCAAACUCCUACGGGAGGCAGCAGUGGGGAAUAUUGCACAAUGGGCGAAAGCCUGAUGCAGCAACGCCGCGUGAGCGAUGAAGGCCUUCGGGUCGUAAAGCUCUGUCCUCAAGGAAGAUAAUGACGGUACUUGAGGAGGAAGCCCCGGCUAACUACGUGCCAGCCGCCGCAGUAA
RNAcentral lists this ribosomal RNA (468 nucleotides) under uncultured bacterium. RNAcentral's name for it is "partial 16S ribosomal RNA". It matches the Rfam family "Bacterial small subunit ribosomal RNA", at positions 28 to 523 of the family's 1533-position model. The record is from RNAcentral.